Molecule: long non-coding RNA, 18575 nt
Filed under: Citrus x clementina
Lineage: Eukaryota; Viridiplantae; Streptophyta; Magnoliopsida; Sapindales; Rutaceae
Description: Citrus clementina (C. clementina) long non-coding RNA (CCLE_LNC002545)
Source: RNAcentral
UUAUUAUUUUUAGCGACAAAGAAUUCGUCACUAAAGAGAACAUAUUGCUAAAAAAAAUUUUGCUUACCAAAAAAUUUUAACGGGAAAAAAUAUUAGCAAUGAAAAUAUAAGAUAUGUUUCUGUGUGUGUGUGUAAAACAUAUAUGGCAAAAGACCAAAACAUACACAAUCCCUAAUUCUCCUUUCUUAAUUUCUUGACUUCAUCUUCUCAAUUGUGAAAGAGAGAGAGAGAAUGACAUACACAUUCACUCAUACGCAAACACGCCCAUGAUAUAGCCAUUGCCGCCGCUAACAAUCACCCAUGCCCAUGUCCACGUCUGUUACUAUCGUUGUCGCUUUUGUUUGAGUGUGUCGACACUGCAGCUUCUAGCCGUUCUUGAUUUGCUUCCUCUUUCCAGUUGUUGUUGCUGCCUUUGGCUUCAUUUGCCAUUGUCAGCAAUGUAAGGUAAGGUUAUACAACUGAAUUUGAUAUGUGAUGCAAUAGGCUUGCACAUUAGGUUACUCUUGUGUGAUUCUUUUCACUGAACAAGUGUUAUCUUGUUUCCAUCUUUUAUCUUUUUAUAUACGUAGUUGUGUUUGUGGAUCUUGCUUGUGGAUGUGUUUGUGGAUCUUGCUUGUGGAUUGUUCUUUGGAUGAAAUGGGCGAUCUAGGUUGUUCUUGAUUUGCAUUUCGGAGGUGGGAUUUUGUUAUUUGGGAUUGAGUUGAGUUCUUGACGGAGCGACGUAGUGGAAGUGAAAUUGAUACGAUAGAUAACGCUAGAUGUCAUUCUAGUAACGGAGCAAGCCAAUGCGAUUAGGUACGCUCUAAUCGAAGUGUGAUUAGAUCUUAUUCAAAAUUGAGUGACUCAAUGAGAUUUUUUAAUAACGCAUUAAGCUCUAAUCCAAACAACUUUACAAGAGAUAUUCUUUAUAGAUAAUUCCACAAGAAAUUAUAAAAGAGGGGUUUUAUUAAUUAAUCAAAUGUUGAAGUUACAAUAAUAAGAUUUCUCUAUUUAUAAUAGAGAAAAUUUUCUUUCCUAAGUUAACUUAAAAAGGAAAAUUAAAUCACAAUUAUAAUAAAAAUAAAAGAGUAAGACACGUACCAUAAUUGACUCUAAUUAAAAUAAAAAAUCUUAAAAUAUAAAAAAUUUAAAAUCCUAAAUUAACAUCCUACAUCAGUUCUGCUAGGGUAUUGAUUAAGCUUUAGUUUUGUUUUUGUUACUUGUUUAUCUAAAAAUUCUUGAUCUUAGCUUGCUUUACACAAUAUUUUGAGUAAUUGUUUUUUUUUUUUGGUGGUGAUGGUAUUUUCGUUCUUAAUUAAACACUUUUAUAUGAUUAAGGUGUUAGAUCAUAGUUGGAUUAUCUUCAAUAGUGUUUACCAAGUAUUUUCUUAGACGAUUUUGUUGGAUCAUUAAUCCAACAUUUUUGGAUCCUUAAUCCAACAUUAGGCUUAUAUGUGAAUAAUUAUGUGUUGCGUACUAUCAUAUAAGGUUAAUCCCAAUUAAAAGUGAUUUAUUAAGGUUUUGAUAAUUUGAACCUUAAUGUAUUUGAUAAGGUUUGGGCCUUUAAUAUGAGGAGACUUAAUGAUAAUUUCUAUUUCUAUGAUGGGUUGAAAUAAAAGUACCAAAAGAUGAUAGUAAAAGUUAUCCACAUAAGUCCUUAUGGUCCCCAGGUCACACAUAUAUUUUUAUUCUCUAUUGACAUUCCAUCAUCAAUGAGAGUACAUGGAGAAGUUGAAAGGAUUCUCUAGGAGAAAAUGUUGAUCUGAAGGACAAACUACACAACUUUAGAGAACAAUUAAGCAUUAUGGAUUCAGGUACGGUUCUACAUAUCUGUUUAUUGAUUCUUGUUGAUACAAUAUGAAUGCUCUUGAAAUUUUGGUGAUGAUUUUUACCAAAGAAUUUAUUAUUCCAACAAGUGGUAUCAUAGCCUCUUCAUAUUGAAUCAUUGAGAAUCAAAUUUAUUUCCAAUUAAUGAUUAAAUCUUUAGUAUUUUUUAAUUUAAUUAUUCUAGUAUUAUUGAGUGUGAGAACAAUUGUAGUUGUUUUUAAGAAAAAAAAAAUUUAAAAAUUUGGAAUUAGAAAUAUAUAUAUAUAUAUAAGGAAAUUUGGUUUUUAAAAAUUGUGAAUAUAGGUCAGUGGCAGCCUCUGCCAUCACUAGUGUCAGCAUCAUUGGCCUAGGUUGUCCUUAUAGCGCUUCACAAUUUCAGCCGCGAUAGCUUGAGGAAAAGACGGUGGCCAUGGCCGCUGCACAAGGAAAAGGAAAAAAGAAGGAAAGUGGUUGAAUGGUCGGGCAAGGUUCGGCUGAACGAAUGAAAGCCGCAGCCACCAGACCAUGGCAGAUUGGUACAAGCAGCGGCCAUGGCCACCGCAUAAGGAAACAAUAUAAAAAAAAAAUAGGGCUUGAAAAAGAAAGGGGUUGGUUUAAGAUUCGAAUAGGUUUGACUCGACUCGAUUUAGGCACCAUGUCAAUAGUUGAUCAUUGACUUUGAAUGAAAUGUUUUUAGGGUAAUUUUGGUAGAAUUUUAAAUUCAAAGUAUUGGUACGUUUGGCGAAAUGUCGCUUCAAUUAAUUUAUCUUAAAAUAUACAAUCUGCAUAAGGCGCAGUUGGUUAUAUAUAUAUAUAUAUAUAUAUAUAUAUAUAUUAAUUGAAGCGACAUUUCGCUAAAGUGAACUCUCUUAUGAAAAUUGAUUUGUUUUUAAAUAUAAACAGUUAUGUGUAUAUAAUUUCUAUGAAUAUCGUAAGCCCCAAAGGAAGGUCCACAUUUGAUAGAAUUGCAUGUGCACUUGUGAUAGUAAAAAUGUGAUAAUAUUCGAUUUUACAUGUGAAUUGUAAAUCAGCCCAAAGGCAGAUUUAUUAUUUGAUGUGUACUUAUUAUUAGUAUUUAAUUACUACACCAAGAUAUCACUUACAAGUUAAUAUUUUGUCCAAAGAUGAAAUAUUAAAAGAGUUUCUGGUAUCUUGAGAUGAGGUAUGCCUUUAUUUGAAUUUAUUUUUGUUUCGAGACUUGCAUGAGCUUGUAUUGUUUGUUUGUUGUUUUCUAUUCAAUUAUAACUCCUAUUAAUAUUGCAGCCAACAACAAUUCUAUUACUAUACUAAAUGGCUCUCAUUUUAAGGCAUGGUAAGAGAACCUCUUUAUAGUUCUCGCAUACAUAGAUCUUAACCUUGUGUUAAGAGUUGGUUCUCCCUUACCACUUACUGAUGUGAGUACUUUUGAUAAUCAGAAGGAUUUGUAAAGAUGAGAGAAAUCAAAUCGCAUGUGUAUGAUAAUUAUGAAGAAGAUCAUUCUAGAUUCAUUUAGAGGCUCUAUGUCUGAAAAGAUAACUACAGCUAAGGAGUCCCUUGCAGACAUUAAGAAAUCAUUUGUCAAGAACGAAGGUAGAAAUAGGUACGCUCUUGACAAAUCUAAUUUCAAUAAGGUAUAAGAGCAAGGACAAGGCGGGAAAAAGAAGAAGGAUGAAGAAGCUGCAAAUACAACACCUCAAAAUAAACAACAAAAGAAACUAAAUAAUCUAGAAGGUACUAAUUGUUUCUUCUGUGGAGCUGAAGGGCAUAAGAAAAGGUAUUGUACCAAUUAUCAUGCAUGGCAUGCUAAGGAAGGUGUGCUUCUUAAUUUGGUUUUUUUUAGGUUAAUUUAACUUUAAUACAUAGACACACGUGGUGGAUAGAUUCUAGUGCAAAAACUCACAUCAGUAUAUCUAUGCAGGGUUGACUAAAUUGCCAGAAGCCUAGUGAUAGUGAAAGAUACAUCUAUAUGGACAAUGACAAGAUGAUUGAAGUUGAAGCAAUUAGAAUAUUUAGAUUUUUAUUAAAGAUUGAAUUUUAUAUAUAUCUUGAUGAAACAUUCAAUGUUUCGUCUUUUAGGUAAAAUUUGAUUUCCAUUUCUACUUUGGACAAAUCUGAUUUUUCUUGUUCAUUUAGAAAUGAAAAAUUCAAUUUGUUUCAUGAUUCAAAAUUGGUUAAUUCUGGUACUUUUUCAAGCUACAAUAAUCUUUAUUUGAUUGAUAUGAUUACUUCAUUUAAUGAAUCCUUGUAAUAUAGUACACGAGGUUCAAAGAGAAAACCAAUGAGAAUUCAGUUGUGUUAUAGCACAAGAGGUUAGGUCAAAUCUCCAAACAGAGAAUAAAAAGACUUGUGUCAGACAAAAUUCUUGACCCUUUGAUUUUUUAGAUUUUAAUGUUUGUAUUAACUGUAUAAAGUGGAAAUAAACCAAUAAAAGAAGAUUUUAUGCCAAAAGAACUUUGGAUGUCUUAGAACUUAUAUUUGUGGGUCAUUCUCUAUAGCUACUUAGAAUAGUCAACAAUAUUUUAUGAUGUUCAUAAAUGAUUUUUCUUGAUAUGAAUAUAUAUCUCUUCAAUGAAAAGUAGGAUAUGUUCAAAAAUUUUAAGGCUAAAAUUGAGAACUAACUUAAGAAAAGAAUUAAAAGCAUCAGAUUUGAUCGUGAUGGUUAAUAUUAGAUAUACGUUAUUGUCCUACAGUACACUACAUCGGGUUUGCCCACUAUGAAUGGUGUUGUUGAAAGACAAAAGAAGACGCUUAAGGACAUGGUGAAGAGUAUAAUUUCUCAUUUUACUUUACCAGAAUCACUCUGGGAAGAAGCACUUAAGACUACAACGUAUAUCCUUAACAGGGUUCCAACUAAAGCGACUGUCAAAACCCCUUACGAAAUUUAGAUGGGCAAUAAGUCUUGUCUAAAGCACUUGCAUGUUUGGGGAGGCAAGGCCUUAUAAGAAUAAUGAAAAAAAACUGUAUUCAAGAGUGGUGAGUUGCUAUUUUAUUAGACACUCUAAGGGAGUACAAGUUUUAUGAUCCCGCGACUAAGUUAAUUUUCAAGUCAGGAAAUGCUUAGUUCUUUGAGGAUGUUGAGUUCGUGGGAGAAGAUACAGUUAAGAACUUUGUCUUCGAAGAGGAAUACAUUGAUAUUUCCACAGGUCUUAUUGGCAUUGAUCAGGAUCUUAUUCCUAAUCUUAUUCAAGACACAAAAGAUCAUAACAGUAUUGAGAAACCCCCAUACAUGAAAUUAUUCCCAAAGAACAAACUCUUCCACUUCAAGAACUAUGCCAUUAAGGAGAUCCACUAGUGAAAAGAGAAGUGCAGUGCUAGAUGACUAUAUUGUAUUUCUCCAAGAACAUGGGCUUGACAUUAGAGUAAUGAAAGAUGAUAUAAUCAAUUUUCCUCAAGCCAUGGAAAGUUCUAACUCUCAGAAGUAGAUGUGAUGCUAUAAAUAAAGAGAUGAAGUCCAUAAAGGACAAAGACGUAUAAAAUCUAAUCGUAUUGCCAGAAAGUACGAAACUUAUUUGUUGCAAAUGGAUCUUUAAGACCAAGAGGGAGUUAAAAGACGAAGUGGGGAGGUACAAGGCCAGUCUUAUCGCAAAAGGCUUUAUAUAGAAAGAAGGCAUUGACUAUAAACAUUUCAAACUUAAGUUACAUCAAAUGGAUAUGAAGACAAUGUUUCUCAAUGGUGAAAUUGAUGAGACUAUCUAUAUAGUGCAGCUUGAAAACUUUGUGUCAAGAGACCCAAAUAAUAUAGCUUGCAAACUCAAGAAAUCUAUCUAUGGGCUUAAGCAAGUAUCUCGAUAAUGGUAUCUCAAGUUUCAUUAAGUAAUAAUCUCAUUCAGUUUCGAGAUGAAUUUGGUUGACAAUUGUAAGUAUAUUUUUCAUUAAGUAAUAAUAUUAUAAGUUCUGUGGGAGUAAGUAUAUUUUUCUGGUUUUAUAUGUCAAUGAAAUUUUUCUUGCUAACAACAAUAUAGGCUUAUUGCAUGAAACCAAGAUAUUUUCAGUUAAGAAUUUUAGAUUGGAAGACCUUGGUGACGCCUCUUUUGUAUUGCAGAUACAAAUACAUUAAGAUCACUCCCAAGAUUUUUCUAGAUUAUUAAAAAAUAGUUAUAUCAAAAAGUUUUUAAGAGAUAUGGCAUGCAAUAUUGCAAACAAGGUGAUACCACUAUGCCUAAGGAAGACAAGUUUAGUCUCAAUUAGUGCCCUAAGAAUGAUUUUGAGGAUAAGGAAAUGCAGAAAGUUCCUCAUGAGUUACUAGUAGGAAGUUUAAUGUAUGUUAUGCUUGACGCUACCGGCAUUGCAUAUGUUACUGGAAUGUUGAGUAGAUCUUUGAGUAAUCCAGAAGUAGACCAUUAGAAAGCAGCGAAACGGGGUCUUACAGUACUUACAGAGAAUAAAAGACUACAUGUUUAUAUAUUGGAGGUCAUAUUAGCUUGAGAUUGUUGGGUAUACUGACUUCGAUUUUGUUGGAUGUCAAGAUAGUAUGAAAUCCACUUAGGAUUAGCCCUAUCUGCUGUCUAAGGUAAUGUUACCUGGACGAGUACUAAACAUUCUCUUACAGCCUCUUUUGUUAGCCUAAAGGGCUACACAUAUUGUAAUUUUGAUGAUAGCAAACAUGUGUCUUAAAUGAUAUGAUAACUAUUGUAUUUCACAUAUUCACUAGUUCUUGAAGGAUGAUAUUUAUGCAAGUAAAUCUAGGGAAAUCAAGAUCAAGACACUCAACAAACAAUGGCUUGAUCAAUAACAAAGAUAGCUCAACAAAGUCAUUAUUGCGACAAAUUUUUGUGAAGCCAAUAUGAUUUCAUAUAUACAUGGUUUAGCAUUUGAGAAGUUCAAGAUUUUGUUUAAUAAAUAAUUAUUUUUCAUAAACCAAAAGGUUUUAUAUUUAUAAGACAAGUACUUUGUGGAUUUGAGUUUUUUCAAAUUUUGGAUUAAAUUGAAAAAGUUUUAAAAUCAAUAAGCAUUAUAAAAAGAACCUUUUUGAGAAGUAUUAUAAAGUUUUAGCUAUAGCAUAAUUUUAAAAAGUUUUGGGAAUAACGAGCAUCAUUUAGAAUUUCUGGGUUUGGACAUAUGUACAAAAAUAUAAAACAUUCUGGGCCAUAGCGUAAUUUUUAAAGGUUUUAGACCAUAUUUUAAGUUUUGGGCCAAAAGUAAAUAUAAAAAAUAUGGUAAAGUUAAAGGCUAGCCGGCAAUGGUUAGCGGCUAGCUGCUUGAGGCAAAUUGUCAAAUUUUCAAAGCCAAAAUUUAUAACAGCUACUUGGUGUUUUGUCUAUAACGAAUAGUUUUUGUAUCUAAACUAGAUAAAACUCAAAUCCAAUUCAUUUUUAAAGACUUUUACAAGCAUAAAAAAGUGAAAAUAACAUAUUUUGAGCUUCCAAUUCGCAAAUCAUCAUAGAUUAAAUCUUCAUUGAGCUAUUAUUUGUACAUUCACUUUAAAAGAGAGUAUUUGUUGUAAUUCUUGAAUUCAUUGUAAAAUUUGUGAGUGUGUAAGUGUGAGAAACACUUGAGUGAAAAGAUUGGGGAUAAUCUCUAGUUGUAAAGGUCCAUUGACACCUUGAAAUUCAAUUUUAAGCAUUUAAAGCAUUGGGAGGCUUGGAUAGUGAAAUUCUCAAGCGUGGUUUGCUUGGAGGCGUGGAUGUAGGUGGGGAUUGUCGAACCACGUAAAAAUAUUUGUGUUUGCACUCUCUUCCCUUACUAUUUUAUUAUUGAGCAUUGUUAAAUUUAUUAUUUUUUAUUUUAUUAAGGCAUUAGAUUAAAUUGUUGUGUUGUUUGCUUAGUUUAAUGUUUAAAAACUCAAUUCACGCCUUCUCUUGGGUUGCAUAACUAGUAUUUCAUUUGGUAUCAGAACUUGGUUCUCUUAUUAGGACUUACCCGUCAAGAGUAAAAGAUCCAUGGCAACCCAAAAUGACUCAACCUUUAAGGAAGGACAGUCCACAAUUAGACUGUAAACCUAGGAUGAGAUUUAUUUGCAAACUUUAGAUUAUGAAAUUUUGGAAGUUGUUUGUGAUGAUCUAUUCAUGCAUAUGACGAAAAAUGAAGUAGAAGAUGAUAUUCCAAAACCUUCAAGUCAAUGGAGUGAGUUAGAAAAGAAAAAGAUAUCUUUAAACUCCAAGACAAUGAAUGCUUUAUUUUGAGCUCUUGAUAAGAAAGAAUUUCAUAGAGUGUGUAGUUGUGAGAGUGCUCAAGAAAUAUGGAACAAACUUGAAGUUUUCUAUGAAGAGACAAAUCAAGUUAAAGAAUCUAAGAUUAGUAGAUAUACUCGACAAUAUGAAUUGUUCCAAAUGGAACAAAAUGAGACUGUGAAUUCUAUGUAUACUAUGUUUACGGAUAUUGUGAACACAUUAGGAGGCCUAGGAAAAACGUUUUCGAAUAGCGAAAAAGUUAAGAAAAUUAUUACGUCUUUACCAAUGGAAUAGAGAUCUAAGAGAAUCGUCAUAGAGAAAGCUAAAGAUUUAAACACUUUGCCUAUUGAUGAUUUAAUUAUUUCUCUUAUUUCAUAUGAGGAAGAUUUGGUAGUAGAAAAAGGCAAUGAAGAAAAGAAGAAGAAAAGUAUUGCACUUAAAGCAUUAAAAUAUGAGAGUAAUGAAGAAAGCAAGUUUGACGAUGAAGGCAUGGCUAUGAUGGCCAGGAGGUUUAGAAAAUUCUUCAAGAAAAUCGGUGAGCGGAAAAUAUUUAGAAACUAUAAGAACCAAAAGGAGAAGAAUGAGCCAAUUACUUGUUAUGAGUGCAGUUGGACACAUACGAUCAGAACGUCCUCUUCUCAACAAGCUAAAGAAGAAGACAAUGGUAGCCACAUAAGAUGACAGCGAUGGGGAAACAAGUGAUGAUGAAGAGGAACAAGAGAUGUCAAAUCUAGCUCUCAUGGCAAUUAGAGAUAAAUCAUUUGACGAACUUGAGGAAGUAAUGGAUCCUACCUAUGAUGAAUUAUGUGAUGCUUUUAAGGAAUUGCGUGAUGAUUGGUUAAAAAUUGGUAAAAAGAAUGCAUACUUUAAAAAGAAAAUGCUAGAACUUUCGAAUGAAAAGGAUGCCCUGCAAAAAUACAAUGAUUCAUUGAAUGAAAAGAUCAAGGGAUUGGAAUUAGAUAAUGAAAUGUUGCAUGAUAAGAUUGCAUCAUUUAAAGGUAAAAAAAAGUACUUUAUAUGAGCAUGAAAAAUCACAUCUUGAUGAAUUGAUAAAAGAAAAUAAAGUGCUUAAGAAAAAGAGCAAUGAACUCAAUUAAAUUUUAUUAAAAUUCACAAGUGGUCAAAAUAACUUAGAAAAAUUACUAAACUCUCAAAAAUGUGUAUUUGAUAAAGGAGAACUUGGGUAUAAGCCUAAGUUGAAGCAAAAGUAUUAUAAGAAUUACUUUGUUAAAGUUACCUCUACUAGUGAUUAUAAAAUUGUUUGUCAUUAUUGCAAUCAAAAUGGUUAUAUGAAAUAUAGAUUUUCAUUAAAAAGAAAUGCAUACCAUUGAGUCAACUGUGUUUGGAUUCCAAAAGGAACCAUUACUAACACUCAAGGACCCAAAAAGAUUUGGGUACCUAACGGUUAUAGAGUUAUCUUUGAUAAAUCAAAAUGUGUUAUUGAGAAUGCAUGUGAUGGCAAGAUUUUAUUUGCAGGAAAUAGAUGUGGUAAUGUUUAUACCAUUGAUAUAGAUUGUGCAUCCACUAAUGAUAAAUGUUACUCCGCAUUACAUGAUGAUGGUUGGUUAUGGCAUAGAAGACUAGGUCAUGCAAGUAUGGAUUUGAUUUCAAAAAUUUUGAAAAAUGAUUUGGUUAAAGGCCUUCCAAAAAUAGGUUUUUAAAAAGAUAGAAUUUGUGAAGCUUUCCAAUUUAGAAAACAAAUCAAAACUUCUUUAAAAAACAAGAACCAUAUCUCAACUUCAAAAUCACUUCAAUUACUUCAAAUGGAUUUAUUUGGACCUUUUAAAUAUGCUAGUUUAAGUGAUAAAUAUUAUGCAUUUAUGAUUGUGGAUAAUUUUUCUAGAUACACAAGGGUAUUAUUCUUAUCUAAUAAGGAUGAUGCCUUUGAUGCAUUUAGAUUUUUCUGCAAAAAAGUUCAAAAUGAAAAGGGAUAUGUUAUUUUUUGUAUUAGAAGUGAUCAUGGUGGAGAAUUUAAAAAUCAUGCAUUUGAGAAAUUUUGUAAUGAUUUUGACAUUAAUCAUCAAUUUUCAUCACAUAGAACUCCACAAAAAAUGGAGUUGUUGAAAGAAAGAAUAUGUAUAUUCAAGAAAUAGAUAGGACCAUGUUGAAUGAAAAUACAUUGUCUAAGUAAUUUUGGGCCGAAGCCGUCAACACUGCUUGCUAUAUUUUAAAGCGUGUGUUGAUUAGAUCUUAUCUCAAUAAGACUUCUAUGAGCAUUAGAAAGAUAGAAAACUCAAUAUGGAUUAUUUCAAAGUUUUUUGAUGAAAAUGUUUUAUUUUGAACAUGAAAGAUAAUCUUGGUAAAUUUGAUCCAAAAUCUGAUGUUGGUAUAUUUCUUGAUUAUUCAAACACAAGUAAAGCUUAUAGAGUAUAUAAUAAAAGAAUUUUAAUUGUGGAAGAAUCUAUGCAUGUUACAUUUAAUGAGUCUAGCCCUUCCUCUACGGAGAAAGUUGUUGUUGAUGAUGAUGCAUAUGAAAAGUUACAAGAAAAAUUAUCAAAAGAUAAAUAAGAGGAUGCACCACAUGAAAAUCAAAAGGAUAGACAAGAACAAAUAAAUAUGGAGCAACAAGAAGGUACUUCUCAAAUUGAAUACAUGUGAGCUUGAUGCAUUCAUAUCUCAAAUUGAACCAAGAUCAUUUGCGGAUGUGGAAAAUGAUGAAUCUUGCAUUAUGCCAAUGCAAAAGGAGUUGAAUCAAUUUGAGAGAAAUAAUGGAAUAUGGUUGUUAUGAGACACAGAAGUUCGUAGUAUGUUAUGAGACAUUUAAUCAUGGAAUAUGGCUACAAAAUUUUGUCACGGGGCUGUGUAUAGUAGAUGGUAUUGAUGGACCACUCAAUUUAUUUUUGACUAUAAAUUAGCAAUGCUAUAUUCCAACAACAAUAGGAUCUUAACGAAGUCAAAGUAUAUAUACAUCAAGUUCCUAAUUGUUAAAGAAAGAGUUUAGAGUGGAUAUUUUUGGGUAUUUUCUGUAGAAAUGCAUACCUCUAAGUUAUCUAUAGAGCACAUCAGUAUAAACUCCAUGAUUGCCACCAAAAUAUAUCAUGAGCACACUGCUCAUAUGUGUGUUGUGCCAUUAAAGAAACUUCAGUUUUUGUUGGAGUUUAUGAUUUGAGAUACUUUUACUAUAUAUACAUUUUUCAGUUAUUUCAAUUUAUGAAUAUUUCGAGUUAUUUUCUAUAAAAAUAAAGUUUUAUUUUAUUCACACUCUGAUUUUGAUAUAGUUUGAUCUUACUAAGGUUUAAGAUGAACUAGUUGGAUAUAGACAUGUUAAGAUCAAAUUGAAUGAAAUUUCUAUACUACAUAUCUACAUCAUGAUUCAUAUUAUUCAAUUAUAUUAUCAUAGUGACCAUUGAUAGGUUGAGUUACAGUAGUUGUAACAAAAGUCGCUUUGAUCUUAUGUUAGUAUGUUUAAUGGACUAAAUUAGUUAUAUAUACAUUUUGGUAAUGACAGUAAGGUUGAGCUCAUACAGUUAUCUUUUGUAAAGCAUAAUUAUAAGGUUACAAAUAUAGCUAAAGUGGGAGACUGUUGGAUCCUUAAUCCAACGUUUGGCUUAAACAUGAAUAAUUAUGUGUUACAAAUUAUCAUAUAAGGUUAAAUCCAAUUAAAAGUGAUAUAUUAAGGUUUUUGAUAAUCUGGGUUUUAAUGUAUCUGAUAGGGUGUGGACUUCUAAUGUGUAAAGACUUAAUGAUAAUUUCUAUUUCUACGAUAAAUUGAAAUAGGAAUACCUAAUGAUAACAGGAAAAGUUAUCUAUAUAAGUGGUUAUGGUCCCUAAUCACAUGUAUUGUUCUGUUUUCUACUGACAUUCCAUCAUCAAUGAAAAUGCAGAGAGAAGUUUAAAGAAUUCUCUAGGAGAAGGUGCGAUCUAAAAGACAAACCACAUGAUUCCAGAGAACAAUUAAGUAUUAUGGAUUCAGGUAUGCUUUCGUAUAUUUAUCUAUUGAUUCUUGGUGAUACAAUAUGAAUAUUCUGAGAAUUUAAGUGAUGGUUUUCACCAAAGGAUUUAUUGUUCUAAUAGAUUUAGUUUAAGUACUUAGAUGUACCAUUAAAGUUCAUAUACGCUUCAGGAAUUUCAAAGAUUUGGAACAAAAAAUUUUAGAUAGUGUACAAAACACACAAAAGAGUAUCAUAUCAUCUGAAGGUGGGAUUUUUGCUCACUCUUUUAUUUUUUGUGCAAAAUUUACUCAUUGAGACAUAUCAUUUCAAGGUUUUUGUUUUAUGCAAACAUAAUUUCCAUAUCCCACUCUUUACCAAAGUGUUAUUGUGAACAACUCAAGAGAUACAAUAUAAUGAAAGUUAUUUAAUUAUGUAAGUGGAAUUUGUUGUGGCAAUUGAGGUUUGGUGAGAAUGGGACUUGGUGCUAUAGGCUUGCACAUUAGGUUUGUUCGAAUGGAUAAUUUUCCUAUAAUAGGAUGAAAUGAUUAUUUUUGACAUAUGUAUAAUGACAACCCUUACAAUAUCGAUCUAAAUAUUAGGUGUCUUUCUUAAACAUGACAUAUUGGCAUUGCUAGUGGUAAAUAGGAUUUGCAACUGCUUUUCAUCAUAGCCUAUUAGCCUAUGUUUUUAUUUUUUUGUAUUUCUAUCACUUUAAGCUGCAAUUUUUUGUUGUUGUUUUUAUUGUUUUUGCCAAUUUAUGCUGUUACUUGAAAGAAAAGCAAGAAUUUUGUCAAUUCCUGAAAUUAGUGAAGUUUUCGAAUGGCUAUGCAUAAAAAAUUAGUAUAUGUGUAAAUGUUAAUAAUUGUAAGUUGUUUGGUUUAAAAAUCCAUGAUCGUUAUGUUUUAUUCGAGUAACUACUUCCAAUUGGGAUAUGCCCAUUUAAAAAAGGAAGUGUGUAUUGGCAAUUAUGUGUGAAAACAAUGAUUGAAGAAACCUUUGUGGGAAAAAAGGAAUCAUCUUGAUACUUUACAAGUUCAAGCGUAUUUCUCCCCAUCAUUUUUUGACAUAAUAGUACACUGAACUGUACAUUUAACUGGAGAAGCAAAAUACAGUGGUCUAGUUGUCUUUAGAUGGAUGUAUCCAAUUGAAAGGUAUUUAUUCUGUUAUAAUUUUCAUUUUCACACAUGUCAUCAUAGUAUUUAAUUUUAUCUAACCAAUAUAACUUUGAAUAUUAACAGAAAUUUGGGUAAAUAUAAGAAAUAUGUCAAGAACAAACUCGUGCGGAUGGAUCAAUUGCGGAAGGCAAUAUUGUUAAUAAGGCAUUGACUUUUGUUUAAUGUAUUUCAAUGAAAUUGAAACAAAAUUUACCCCACCUCAGUGAAAUCUUAAUGGUGGGGAUUGAGGGUUGAAUUUUCAAUUUUAUUACAAAAAGCUUGACCAUUUCAGCCAAUUAAAUUUAAAGAAUUAUCACAAGAUGAUAAUGAUAAAACUCAUUCGUUUCUACUACACAAUUUUGAUGAAGUACAACCAUACUUAAAGUGAAGUACUCUCUUUAGCAUUUGUGCUUACUAAUAGAAUUUAGUUUAAGUAUAUUAACAAUUAUUAGUUAUUGUAAUGAACAUUUGAGACUGAUGGAAAUGGAAGGGAAAACAAAUUUGUUUGAAAUUCAACAAAAACUAUUUUAAAAUGGUUUGUGUCAAGUGUAAGUGUUUUCCUUAAUAUAAAAUAUUAUUUAUUUACUAUAAAGUAUUGGUUCUUUACUAUAAAAUAUUAAUUAAUAUUAGUGUGAUCAAGAUUUGAUACAUGUGUUUUUUUGCUUGGGUGAGAGAAGUGUGUCUUCAAGGAUCCUUGGAUGAUGAACACCUAUUGUGUUCAUUGGCAUUUGCGCGAGAUGUCAAAAUAUAUAACUAUUUGGGUUGUAAUGUAAAUGGUGUACGUUUUCUUAUAAAUGAAAGUGAUGAUCGUCGUACGACCCAAAAUAGUGGAGUACUUGUUUCUGGUUCACACAAUGAUGAUGUGAUUGAUUUCUUGGGAGUUUUAAUGAUGUCGUUGAGUUAGUAUAUUUGUCAUGGCGUCGGGUUGUAAAGAUUAUCAUCUGAAGAAGAAAAUAGUACAUAAAGAUUAUCAUCUUACAUCAAUCAAUGUUACUCAAACAUGGUAUGACGAAGGUAGAUUUGUACUAGCAACUCAAGCACAAUUGGUAAUGUAUAUUAAUAAACCUACAAUUAGUAAAAAGUGCAAUGCAGUGGAAAAUAUAAAUUAAAGAGGUGUGUGGGAUAUCCAAGAGAAAAAUGAAGGGAAUGAUGACAAUAUUGAUCAUGAUGUAUAUCAAUAGGAUGAGGACCAAUCUACUAACGCAAAUGGUUAUAUUGUUUUAAUGUUGUAACCGGAUAGUUUUGGUGAAAAAUCAUUCAGUAGGGAUGAUGUUGCUGCAAAUUUAAUUGAUGCCAAAAUUGUGCAAAAAUCUCUAUGUGAUGAUGAAUUUGUUAAAGUCAUUUUGGAUGAUGGUGAUUAAAUUAUUGCAAAUUGUGAACUUGUAUAAGAUUUGGAUGACUCUUAUUUGGACUAAAACAAACCUAAAGUAUAUAGGGUAUUUAAUUUCAUACUUAUUUUCAUUGUUGAAUUAAUCUAAUGUGGUUAAUUACUAAUUUUCUUAUAGCCUUUUUUAUUUUAUUAUUUUCUUUAAUUUAUUACAAUCUAAUUUAUUUUUAAAUAAUAUAUUCUAUCUUUCAAAUGGCUCCAGUUUAUGUAACUUCUUCUGCACAGAGUACUCCAACUUUGCAUGAUAACACAAUUCCUCACACUAUAGAAGAAUUGCAAGAUAUUUGAAGUAGUGUAGGUAACAAAUUAUAAACUUGAACUAUAUGUUGUCUAAUUUAUUCUAUUGAUUAAUUGAUGAAUUUUUUUUAUCUUGGUUUGAUAGAGCAACUUUGAGGUUAUUGAUAUUGAAAUCUAUUGUAAUUGAUUAAUUUUCUACUUGCAAUUCGAAAUCAGCUCAAAUUCCUAUUAAUAUUUCCUUAACUAUUAUCUUUGUAUGAUUAGUGUUCUGUUUUAUUAUGUGAUUUCUUCUUUAUAUAUGUUCAACUCUAAAGGUGCAAAGUUCUCAAGGCCUUACUUGAUAUAAUGGCUAUGGUGAGGUUAAAGGGCCGAAUAGUUAUCAUCAUCUCACCAAUUACGAAUGAACAAGAAGGAAAUAUUAUAAAGAAUUGAUUAACAAUUGUGGUACAAUCGUUUAAACUUGUGCUCCAGUUCGUGUAGUGUCAUGGUUGAAGAUUCCUUGGGAUGGAAAGGUAGAUUUAUUCAAAUAUUUACAUGUAUAUAAACUUUCUUAACAACAAUAUUACAAUUGACAUGUUUGUUACAAUCACAUAUUAAUAAUCUUUGGCUUGCUUUUAUUCAUUGAUGCAGGAGUUGUUUAAUUUAGACCUUUAUCAAAUGCAUGUUUUGUGCUAUUUGAACAAAAUAAUGGGCAAACGAUAUGUUGAUUAUCGAUACAAGACAUUGAGUAAGGCCUCCAAGUGAGGCACUACACAUCUACCAAAAGUUGUCAAACAAGAGGAUUGGGACAAAUUAUGUGAUCUUUGGGGGAAUAAGACUCAUGAGGUAUGUACUAAGUAAAAACUAUUUAUCAUAUGCUUUUAGAACUUUUAAAUUGUAUUUUGUUUAUAAAAAAAAAAGAAAGCGAAGGAAUACUAUUUGAUGGUAGGAAACUUUUAAAAGUUUGUGUUGUGGAGAAAGUUGAAGAAUUAUUAUUUUUGUUGAAGAAAAAGUAUAAUGAAAAAAUACUUUCAUGUUGGUUUUAUUGCAAGAGAGAAAAACCAUAGAUAUGUUACUUCUUAUAACAUACUUAGUCUUUUUCACUAGAAGCUAUGUCAUUCUCUCUUUCUUUUUUUAAUCAAAUUUGUUUCCCUUAUUGUUUCAACAACAAUUGCAACUAACCCUUACUAUUUUGGAUAAAGCUUGUGUUACAAGUUAAUGGUAAAUUAAUUAAGUGAUUUUUUUUAUAGUAACUGAUUGAAACUUAAUUUGAAUAAUGAAAGGAUGAAAGCAUGAAAGGGUGCAUGAGGCUCCAGAUAUGAUUUUUUUAAAUUAAGCUGAAGCAGUUGAUUUGAAAAAUUUUAUUUGAAGUGCAGAAAGUGUGUAAUAUAUUUUGUUAGAUUUUGAUAAAUUGGAACUUAUAUUUCAGGGGAGGUCAUGCCAAAAAUUUUCUAGAAAUUUAUGACAUCUUGCAUAUUAGCCGCUUUAAUUCAUUUAUUAGCGAAUUUUGAUCUAACAUAUUUUUGUGGUUGUGUGUGAUCCAUUUGUUGAUAUAUAGAGAUUGAAUGCAUCUAGCGAAAUAGGGGAUAUUCUGUUGAAAUUUUGUAAGGAUACUUUUUAGAUUUUAAUUUUCAUUUAUUUAACAUGAAAAAUGUUAUUUUGUGCAAUUAUUUUUUUAAAAAAAUGCACAAAAAAAGAGUACUUCCUUUCGAUCAUUGUGGGGAUCAAGAUCAUUUAAUCAUCAUGAGAAGGUGUAAUGGCUUUUACUUUUGUAAGGGAUCUUGAUAAUUGUGGGGAUCAAGAUCACAAAAGAAAGAGUCUGCUGGGUGUGUAAACAAUCAGGGCUUCUUAAAAGGGAUUGUUGGAAAGUAAAUGGAGCAAGCUCAGCAAGUGGCUCCAAGUCAGUAUAUGAAGAUACUGAUAGUAUCACUAGCGGAAAGUCUUUCAACAUUAUGGGAGAUGAUGAUUCCCUAUAAUAGAUGAUGAAAAUAUCCUCAUUGUAAGCCCCUAGUGCCAUGGAAGAUAAUGCUUACUGCUAGUGGGUCCACAAGAUUUGCAUACAAGGCAUGUUUGGCAUUUAUGCAAGGUGUGUGGUGAAUUUUUUUUUUUUUGUCAAUGGCUGAGGACUCUCAAGGAAGCCAAACAUGAGAGUGAGUAUUUUCAGUAAGGUGAUCGACAUGUGUUGAAUAUAUGUACUCUGGAUAAGGUAGAGUAUAAUGAUUCUUGGUGUAGAGAAUUAUGGCUGCUGAAUAGAAAACAAGAUUGUAACCAUGAUGGAGUGAUUCUCAUAAGCCCUAUAUGAGUGUAGUUUUGGUGGAGCAAAGAAGGUGGACAUGACAUGGUUGUGUGGAUACAUAAUGGAUCAUGUUUUAUCACCUAAUUGAAAAACUCGCCAAGGUGGAGAAUGUUAGGGAAUAUGUCUUAUUUUUCAACAAGACAUUUCCUAGGAUAUUUUCCUCUUUAGUAGGAUUCCUAUUUAAAGAAUAUGUAAUUUACCCUUUGGGACUUGACUUAUUCAAGGAAGAAUGCUACUAAAUAAGAAAAAGUAUACUUAUCCUACAAGAAAUAAUCAUUAUCUAAGGAGGUUGAGUUUACUUAUUUACAUAACACAAUAAUAAGUUCUCUGCAUGUAGACAGUUUCUAGUGUGAGAGAAACGAUAGAUCUAUUGAGAGAUUGGGUGUUAUUAGGAUUUUGGGUAUGAGAAGAAUACUAGAGUGAUUAUAAUAAUUUUUCACAUGGUAGAUUUUUCUCCAUUCAUCCUUGGCGGCCGUGGUUUUUCUCCAGUAUAGGAGUUUUCCAUGUAAAUUCUUGUGUUGUGUGUUUGGUUUUAUUCUCAUCUAUUUUUCUAUUUAUUAUUUAUUUGAUAUUUUUUCUUGCAAGAUCUUGGGCGGGAUUAAAAUUCCCUAACAUCUUUGAACUUAGGAGCAAGGCCCGACUAAGCACGCAAACGAAUUUCAUUGUGUAUUCAAUGAAAUUUGGGAGCUAUUUAUUCAGAAUGUGAGGGAGAAAAGGUGAUCUUGAAAUUAAUUAAUUCAUUAAGAUGUGAUUAUAUAAAGAUCAUAAUUACAAGUUCACACUCACAUCACAAGCAUGCAUAUCAUAAUGCGGAUCAAUUAGUUAAUCAUAACCCAGUUAAUGAAAUUAAUCUAUUGAUAUCAUGGUUGUUUGGCAAAUGAGAAAAUGAAGGAAAGUGAAAGAAAUUGAGAGAUAAAACAUGGAAGUUAAAGCUAUAAUUAUGGAUAUUUUAUUUAUUUCAAGUUAAAAUAGGCACUUUAACUGAAAUGGGCAUUUCAAUCAUUUCAUCAAAUAAACAAAGGGUGUAAUUAAAUUUUUAUAUUGUCGAGGUGGUCAAUGGUUAAAUUAAUAAAAAUUCUAAUGAUUGAGGAUGAAAUAAUGACUUUUUAAUUUAUUGAAAGUGAAGGAAUAAGUGUUAAUUUAUUUAGUAUGCAAUCAAAUUUAUCCGAUGAUAAAUUAUGAUUAGUAAAUAACAUAUAGAUUUAUUAUAUAAUAAAGUUAAUUAUUAAUAUAUAUUAUUGCAAGUUUAAAAAUAAACUAUUUUACCAGUCAAACAAGAUCAAUGGAUUUAAUUAUAAAAAUUUAAAACGAUUUAGAAUCAUGUGUCAAAAUAUUGAAACUUUGUCAUUUUCUUAAUUUGGAAACAAACGGGAGGGAUUGGAGAGUUAAUAACUCAGAAAAUUCAUCUAAAUCGUUGAAAUACUUUUACAUUAAAUCAAAUGGUUGAUAAUAAUUAUUUAAUAGUUGAUAAUAAUUGAUAAGAAAAGGACAAAAUAUGGGGUUUGGUGUCAAAGAGGCACCAUAGCCUUAUUUCUUAUUACUUGGAGGUUGUUAUGGAAAAACGUAAGAUGUGUAUUGCUAAAUGUUGACAUAAAUUUAAUGAGCUAAAACGAUGAAUGAUGAUAAUUCUUGGUUCUUCAAUGCAAGCAAACCUUAAAUUUAAGGGUGCGUUUAAUAUUGUUUUUGAAAUGAUGUUUUAGUAUUUUUUUUAUAGAAUAGAUUUGAUUAGUUUUUUAUGAAGGUGAAAACAUAUUUGGUACUUUAUAUUAAUAGUAA